GGUGGCUCAGGGGUAGAGUGCUUGCCUUGCAUGCAUGAGGUCCUGGGUUCGAUUCCUCAGCACCA
RNAcentral lists this transfer RNA (65 nucleotides) under Dipodomys ordii (Ord's kangaroo rat). It matches the Rfam family "tRNA". Rfam says of the family: Transfer RNA (tRNA) molecules are approximately 80 nucleotides in length. Their secondary structure includes four short double-helical elements and three loops (D, anti-codon, and T loops). Lineage: Eukaryota; Metazoa; Chordata; Mammalia; Rodentia; Heteromyidae. The record is from Rfam by way of RNAcentral.